AGCGAACGCUGGCGGCAGGCCUAACACAUGCAAGUCGAACGAACCUUUCGGGGUUAGUGGCGGACGGGUGAGUAACACGUGGGAACGUGCCUUUAGGUUCGGAAUAACUCAGGGAAACUUGUGCUAAUACCGAAUGUGCCCUUCGGGGGAAAGAUUAAUCGCCUUUAGAUCGGCCCGCGUCUGAUUAGCUCGUUGGUUGAGGUAAUGGCUCACCAAGGCGACGAUCAGUAGCUGGUCUGAGAGGAGGAGCAGCGACAUUGGGACUGAGACACGGCCCAAAGUACUACGGGAGGAAGCAGUGGGGAAUCUGGAGGAAUGGGCGAAAGCCUGACGCAGCCAUGCGGCGUGAAUGAUGAAGGAAUUAGGAGUGUAAAGUUCUUUCAACGGGGACGAUAAUGACGGUACCCGGAGAAGAAGCCCCGGCUAACUUCGUG
This 434-nucleotide ribosomal RNA is filed under the name uncultured bacterium. RNAcentral describes it as "partial 16S ribosomal RNA". It matches the Rfam family "Bacterial small subunit ribosomal RNA", at positions 29 to 507 of the family's 1533-position model. The record is from RNAcentral.